AUCCUGCUGGUGAGUCCCAAAUAGGACGAAAGGCUUGUCUUGGAU
Molecule: non-coding RNA, 45 nt
Filed under: Schistosoma mattheei
Lineage: Eukaryota; Metazoa; Platyhelminthes; Trematoda; Strigeidida; Schistosomatidae
Source: RNAcentral